CAGUCGCCGCGGGAAUACAGAGGGUGCGAGCGUUAAUCGGAUUUACUGGGCGUAAAGCGUGCGUAGGCGGCUUCUUAAGUCGGAUGUGAAAUCCCUGAGCUUAACUUAGGAAUUGCAUUCGAUACUGGGAAGCUAGAGUAUGGGAGAGGAUGGUAGAAUUCCAGGUGUAGCGGUGAAAUGCGUAGAGAUCUGGAGGAAUACCGAUGGCGAAGGCAGCCAUCUGGCCUAAUACUGACGCUGAGGUACGAAAGCAUGGGGAGCAAACAGGAUUAGAUACCCGAGUAGUCCCUGUCUCUAUACA
This 301-nucleotide ribosomal RNA is filed under the name uncultured bacterium. Its description in RNAcentral is "partial 16S ribosomal RNA". It matches the Rfam family "Bacterial small subunit ribosomal RNA", at positions 509 to 808 of the family's 1533-position model. The record is from RNAcentral.